This 111-nucleotide ribosomal RNA is filed under the name Ktedonobacteria bacterium brp13. Lineage: Bacteria; Bacillati; Chloroflexota; Ktedonobacteria. The record is from RNAcentral.
GGUGAUAAUAGCAAAAGGGAAACACCCGUUCCCAUCCCGAACACGGAAGUUAAGCCUUUUAGCCCUGAUGAUACUAUGUGGGCGACUGCAUGGGAAAAUAAGACAUUGCCA